GACUGGGGCCCCCAGAUUUUGUUCUCCUGUGCUGCAUAGGGGACCAGACUUGACACCCCAGGCUUCAUUUUCCCUGGGAGCAUCCAUAAAGGCGUAGCCAAAGGCUGAAGGCUACCCGGAUAGGUGACAAAGUUUUUUAAAGGAAUCCAGGCUGUCAUGUUGAUCUCAGGCCCAGUGAAGUUACGGCUCACCUAAUCUGGGAGGUGCUAGGAGAUGGGGGGACAGGGGAAGAAAAAUACGCGAAGGAGCCGCUCUCUCAGAGACUUCAGCAGGAACAGAAUGCAUUUUGCUUCUGAGCUACUUUGCUAGCAUUGGGAUGAGCAAGGCAGUGGUGAGUGCCGAUCUGGUUUUGACAACAGGCACUUCCCGCAUCAAAUCGGAAUGUGGGCUUGCUGCUGUAGCUGAGAGAGCCGCUCUGCCCCCGUGCAGGGCUCUCUCCCCCACGCCAGCUUCUGGAGGUUCCAGACACCUGCUGGAGGGAGGAUUGGAUUUGUGACUGGAGCCCGCCAGCCAAGAGCAUCCAUUAAAGUCUUUGACAACAUGAGAGAACAUUUAAGCGACCAUUCCAACAGAGAAACUUCUACUUGGUUUUGGAACGAUAGCUGGGAGCCAGUGUUGGUUUAUGUUCUUCUUGUAUGUGACACACGUAAGACUUUUUCCCGCUGUGGAGACAAGGUGAACCUCUACCACUAGACAGCUUUCGCCGGGCCUGGGCUGAAUAGGUUUUGAAUAGGUUUUGGCAAAAGGCUUGCCUCAGUUUCUGUCUUGAUAACCAGCUUUUUUGGUCCUUAUAUUAGUCAUACAUUGCUGCACAACAGAUUACUUCAAACUCAGCUUAAAACAACAUUCAACACUUAUUAUGUUACCUGGUUUCUCUGCGUCAGGAGUUUGGGAGCAGCUUAGCUGGAUGGUUCUUGCUUGGGCGUCUCUUCAGAUCACACUUCAGACGACUGCCACCAAGGGGUGCUCGUUCAGGGGUAUUGGUCAGCAGAUCACAUGUAAAAGAGCUUUCGAGGUAGAGACUACAGCACCUAGAGAGGAAACGGCUCAUUCUCCAGUCGUAGGUGAGUGAUGACAUUAACCAGCAUGACAAAAAAAAAAUCUUGUCAAAAUUACUUGUGGACUAAAACAAAGGACACAUUUCCCACUAGAACAGAAAUAAAUUUUAAUUCAUUGAAAAGUGCAGCAGUGAACAGGGUCUUUGGAAGGGCACUUUCUAAGUCAGGUGACUUGAGAUGACACAAAGCCACGGCAGAAUAACUUCUGGGAACAGAAGAUGCAAACGCAGGAAUUCACAACACUCAGUGUGGGACCCAAGUGGUGGUGUAAGUAGAAAACCCAAAUAUUCCCACCUGGGUCACUGGUGGAUCAGAAGUACCCUUUGCUUCCUCUUAAUAAGGACCCUGGAGAAAUCCUUCUUUAGUGCUUUAAAGCACUAAUAUUUAAUUUAGAUGCUAAAAAUAAAUUUAACAAUGUUUCUCACAGAUGAGGCUAUGACUUCCAUGGCUACUGUUACGAUUUUGUACAAAAACCUUAGUAUCGUGAAUUAAAAACGUACUUUGUAACAGUACCACUGGUCAAAUUCAGAGAUACUCAAUAAGGGGUUCCCCACUUUGUAUUUGAGGGAGACCUCUGUAAUAGGAAAUUUUGUAAGGCAGAAUAUUCAUUCCUAUGGCCUUGGAUCCCUCCUAAGGGUUAGUUUUCUACUCUGAAGGGUACCAACCAGUCCAGACCUGGCCUUCUUUAAAAGAGAAAAUAAUCAAAAUUCAAAUUCAUACAAUUAAGAGAGAAACAAGCCAAACCUCUUGCAGUGGGUUCCUUGUACAUAUACAUUCUGAAAAGUUCAGUGCAUUUUGUUGUCUGCUAGGCUAUAUAAACUGAGGCCUCUUCACAAAAGAUUUUAGCAUAGAUCCAGAAUGAAGCCAGUCUAAGAGAAAGUGAAAUUAUAGGCCACUCCAAGGUUAGUGGGAAGUGUACCACAUAUAGGAGAGGUACACAGGGAGGGCACCCGAUCCCCCCACCCAAACAGAAAUCGCUGAAUGUAAGAACAGUGUGGCAGGGACACUAUGGGCAGCUGACUUGUGUUGCUCUUACAACUUUACCUGCUCUCAGGAACCAGCAACCUAAAAUUGAAUAACAGGACAUCACAAUAGAAGACCUGGUAAGUAUUGGUGUCUUUUUAUUCGGGAAUAACUAUGGUCAACUUUCAUUAAGGUAGAAGUUGACUGAUUAAUGUUAAGAAUCAAAGUGUAGAAUAAAGCUAAUACCCAUAUUUAACAGUGUAGUUUGCUUUUAGUUACAAAAUAUUUAGAAUUUCUUUCCCUAAAACAUUCACAGCAGAGGUGUUCUUUCACUUGCCUCUUUCACCUCUAAAUACCACCACAGUUACUGGGAUUGCAUGAGGUAAAGGAAUAAACCCAAUGGCUAUUAACCCAACAUGGCUCUCUAGAGUUGAUAGAGAAGUUGUUUACGGCCAUGUCUUACAAAGUGCUUAAAGCUCAACCUAAGACCUUACAUAAAGCUAAAAUCACUAAUGCCUGAGUUGAACAGGUUAUAAACCACAGCUCUUCCUCCUCCCCCUGCUGUCCCACCACAGAUAACUUUCUUGUGAAGAAAACAGUAGAAAUGGGAUUGGUCUUUGAGCCCAGAAACAUACAAAUGUAGGUGUUCUAUACAGGAAACCUCAACAAGGUCUGGCUUUGCCAGGGGGAACAGUGAAUGCGGCUCAAAUUAUGCAAGACUCCAAACCCUCCAGAAGAACUUCUCUAAAAGGGAACAAGGUAGGGUAAAGCAGUUGGAACUUUGUAAAAACUGUAACAAAUGAACACAAUGUCCACAAAAUGCAGAGAGUCAAAAUUGAAACCCAGGCUCCCUGCUAGACAGGCACUUACUAAAUCCCAACAAUAGCCCUUCAACCUGUCCACCCAAGAGCCCCGUCUAUAGAAGGCCCUCAGAAAAUGCAACCUUCACCAACCCUUGGAAGUUCUUUUCCUCUACUGAGAAAUAUUAGGAUAGGAUACCUAAGCCAUUUUGUUUUUGGGAUCUCAGAGGAGUAAUUAUCAGGAGAAGAAACAUUCCCUUGAUACCUCUGUUGACUGGUACUCCAUGUGGUUAGCAGCCACCAGGAAGUCCACGGCUUUCACUUUUAGAACUACCUCGAAUUAUUAGCCUGUACCAAAAACUGUUCUAUUUAAGUGUAGCAUCAGCCCAGAAUGCAUAAAAAACAACAACAACAAAACCAAAACAACACGAACCGUGCUUGGCUGACAGGUUUUGAACUUGUGACCUUAUCACAUUGUGAUGGGUAUUAUACACACUGUAUUUCUACUAAUCUGAAAAUGGCGGUACUUGUUCUUGCUCUGAUGAUUCAGCUCUGAGGGUUAUUCUUCAAGCCAUGUGAUGUUGGUAUUUUUGAUAGUGAAGUGGUUAAGCUGUAAACCACCCCUCUGCCCCCAAGCAAGUAAUUCAGACUAUGACCACAUGGGGAAUAAUCAAGAACUGUGACCCCAGGACAGAAAGGGUGUGGGUGAGGACAAAGACCUCAGGAGCAUUCGUUAUUAGGUGAAUGAAGGGACAGCCAUUCCUGAUGUGUGGGCGGAGUUCACAGUUUAACACAUUGCACAAGGAAGUCAGCUGAUUGGGUUGCUUUUUCAAACAGGACUUAGAGCCAGUCCAGAAACUCUUCAAGGCGUGGUCUUGAGGACUAGCUACAGAAACCUACUACAAUCACUUCAUCAGACAGAGGUGUGCUGGGACCCAACUGCAGAGGUCGCUACAGAGGAUGUUUUGAAAACCUUCGAGUCCUGACACUGCCAUGAUUGUUGAACAUGAGACGAGGGUCAAACCUGUAUCUGAGAAGGAAAAAAAGAAAAAGGAUGUUACAUCAACUCCAGUUAGCUGCCAUGUUCCUCAUUCAGAAUGUUCGGUGGAAAGGAUGGCAGGAAGGAAAAUAAAAGGAACAAUUAAGUCCUCAGGAAUCUCGUGGCAAAGUCUGUAGUACAAAACAGAAGAACUUACUAAUUAAGAGCAUUCCCAUCACAAGCAAGCAAGCACAAAAUGAUGUAAAAUAAUCUUGAGAGGCAUUAGGAGGAGACAAGAUUUGAGCUGGUUUUUGAGGGGGAGGAGGACUCCCUAAGGUGUAAAGUAACUGAUGGCAGAGGCUAGCCCCUGUCAGAGCCUGACCAGCAGCUUCAGAGCCCUUCCUUCUCUUACAGUUCACACAGACCAGCAGGCAAGAGCACAGGUGUGCACCUCAGACAGACGUUUCCGUCCGGCUCAUUAUGAACUCAGUAAUCUCUAUACCCAACAUGGGGCUUGAACUCACGACCCCAAGAUGAAGAGUUACAUGCUCUACCUCCUAAGCCAGCCAGGUGCCCCUAGACAUCUAAUUUGAUUUGAUAAAACAUUCUGAGCACAGUUGUUGGAAACUGCAAAAUCAGCAUGUGUCAACUAAAAGUCUUGUGCCUUUUACUUUAGAGACUGAACUUCCUUCCUGCUUCAAGGAACUGGUGUAAGUGAGGAUGCAUUUCACUAUCUUGCAGAAGAGCUCCUGACCGACAUGGAUUUAGAAUUUAGAAGUAUGUAUACCGUAUUUAGAAGCAAAAGUAUUACAUUUCUUUCAUCAAAAGUCUAUUAUCCAGUGUCUCUACUCAUUCACAUAUAUUACUCUCUAAUGUGUACUGAAAAUAUUUCACAGAAGGCUGGCUAAAUAAUUAAGUUACUACUCAAAUUACUCCUUUCCAUCAGCUUAGGACAUCAAUCUCCCAUUUCUCCUACAAUCAAUGUAAGAACUAAAAUAAUCCUUUCCUGGUGAAAAUUCAACUUUAAAUUUCAUAAUCUUAAACCCAAAAUGACAGGUUUCUUGCUACAUGCAGCUGAAAUGCAUGGUGUGCUGAGACCCCACAUCACUGGGGAAGGGUAACUGUUCCAGAGGAAUGAGUGGGAGGGACAGAGCCCGCUUAGUAGGUGAUAACCUUUUCUGCCUUCAUAUACUACAGUGGGCUUACAUAUUUAAACAUUUGAAGUCUGUACCUUCUAAUUUAUUUUGUGUGUUCAGCCUACUAAGUUUACUGGCAAGCAUUCAAGUUCCUCUAAUCAGGGUUUCUGAGAAAUGAAAUGAAGGCAUAACCUCUUGGAGGUGCUAGGGAGACAGGUAGCAGGUGGUCAGCUCACUUUAAAGAAACUCCAUCUGUCACCAGUGCAAUCAAGUGGGUACCAUGAAAAGAGUCACAGGAGGAAGGGGAGGAAGAAGAGCCCCAUGUGGCAGGGAGCGGGGCUAGGCCUCCAGCUAAAGCAGCUACUGGCACCACAGAGCAGAAGUUUCAAAGGGCUCAUUUCCCCAGCACAACAGGCAAACGCACUAACACACAGUACUCCUACUACAAAGCAGAAGAACAAGAAACACAGCUUAGCUCAAAGCCAAAAGGACCCCUCAGGCUUCCUCUGCCUUCAAGCACACACGACUGCCACCCACCGACAGCUUGACAAAGCCAUCGAAGAAAAUGGGAACUUACCCC
Acinonyx jubatus (cheetah) is the source of this 5516-nucleotide long non-coding RNA. RefSeq lists it as uncharacterized. The transcript is spliced from 3 exons. The record is from RefSeq and is a predicted model, not a curated record. Lineage: Eukaryota; Metazoa; Chordata; Mammalia; Carnivora; Felidae.